AUUCCCCUAGUAACGGCGAGUGAAGAGGGAAGAGCCCAAGAUUGAAAGCUGGCGUCUUCGGCGUCCGCAUUGUAAUCUCAAGAAGUGUUUUCCGCUUCGGACCAUGCCUAAGUCCCCUGGAAAGGGGCAUCAUAGAGGGUGAUAAUCCCGUACAUGGCAUGGAGCGCCCGAAGCUUUGUGAUACGCUUUCUAAGAGUCGAGUUGUUUGGGAAUGCAGCUCMAAAUGGGUGGUAAAUGCCAUCUAAGGCUAAAUAUUGGGGAGAGACCGAUAGCGAACAAGUACAGUGAUGGAAAGAUGAAAAGAACUUUGAAAAGAGAGUUAAACAGUACGUGAAAUUGCCAAAAGGGAAGGGUAGGAGGUCAGAGAUGCGUCUUGGGAUUCAGCCYUGCUUCUGCUUGGUGUUUUUCCCAAGUGUGCAGGCCAACGUCGGUUUUGGGCACUGGAGAAGGGUGGAAGGAACGUGGUACCUCUCGGGGUGUGUUAUAGCCUUCUACUGGAUACAGCGACCGAGACCGAGGACAGCAGCGUACUCGCAAGAGCGGGCCUUCGGGCACCUUUACGCUUAGGGCGUUGGCAUAAUGGCCCUCUACCACCCGUCUUGAAACACGGACCAAGGAGUCUAACAUGUAUGCGAGUCUUUGGGUGGCAAACCCAUAGGCGCAAUGAAAGUGAAUUCAGGUGGGAUCCGCAAGGUGCACCAUCGACCGAUCCUCACGUCUUUUAAGUCGUGGAUUUGAGUAAGAGCAUACCUGUUGGGACCCGAAAGAUGGUGAACUAUGCCUGAAUAGGGUGAAGCCAGAGGAAACUCUGGUGGAGGCUCGUAGCGGUUCUGACGUGCAAAUCGAUCGUCAAAUUUGGGUAUAGGGGCGAAAGACUAAUCGAACCAUUAUAGAGAAUGGCUAGGUGGUUAAGAGGGUGCUAAAAGGGCAACCCUAGUGGGCGCUGAGGCUCGCGACACUGUCAAAAUGCGGGGACACCCUAAAGCUUUCAAUACCAAGCCGGCGUGGAAACACAGUCGGUGGCCGAGUUAAUGACCCUGGGUAUGGUAAAAACUUGAAAGAUGGAACAAUGGGCGAUCCGCAGCCAAGCUCUAAGGGUCGCAAGAUCUAUGAGUGCAGUUCACAGACUAGAUGGCAGUGGGUUCCGAAUGAAAAUUGGGGCUUAAGAUAUAGUCGGUCCUCUCUCGAAAGGGAGCCGGGGGAUGAAAGAUCGAGGUUCUUCAGCAGCAGACCUCUUUCCGGAGCCUCUGGGGGUUGGAAAUUCAAAGAAUUAAUUUAAUUAAUUGGGCGAUUUUCAAU
Molecule: ribosomal RNA, 1299 nt
Filed under: Sphacelotheca schweinfurthiana
Lineage: Eukaryota; Fungi; Basidiomycota; Microbotryomycetes; Microbotryales; Microbotryaceae
Description: LSU rRNA
Rfam family: Eukaryotic large subunit ribosomal RNA
Source: RNAcentral